AACGAACGCUGGCGGCAUGCCUUACACAUGCAAGUCGAACGGUAACAGGUUAAGCUGACGAGUGGCGAACGGGUGAGUAAUGCAUCGGAACGUGCCCGAUCGUGGGGGAUAACGCAGCGAAAGCUGCGCUAAUACCGCAUACGAUCUGAGGAUGAAAGCGGGGGACCGUAAGGCCUCGCGCGAUCGGAGCGGCCGAUGUCAGAUUAGGUAGUUGGUGGGGUAAAGGCCCACCAAGCCGACGAUCUGUAGCUGGUCUGAGAGGACGACCAGCCACACUGGGACUGAGACACGGCCCAGACUCCUCCGGGAGGCAGCAGGGGGGAAUUUUGGACAAUGGGCGAAAGCCUGAUCCAGCAAUGCCGCGUGCAGGAAGAAGGCCUUCGGGUUGUAAACUGCUUUUGUACGGAGCGAAAAGGUCCUUUCUAAUACAAGGGGCUCAUGACGGUACCGUAAGAAUAAGCACCGGCUAACUACGUGCCAGCCGCCGCCGUAA
RNAcentral lists this ribosomal RNA (493 nucleotides) under uncultured bacterium. RNAcentral describes it as "partial 16S ribosomal RNA". It matches the Rfam family "Bacterial small subunit ribosomal RNA", at positions 29 to 523 of the family's 1533-position model. The record is from RNAcentral.